CAUUCUUUGUAACAGAAAAUGGCAUUUACCUAUGGAGCAACAACUAAUCGACAGGAUUUGAUGAAUAUUGGCUUAGUUCGUACGGAUUGGACAAGGAGUUGGAUGUAUAUUAUUAGGCCCAUUGGUAUCAAGGUUUCAACUUUUUAGGGUCGGAUAUGUAUUUGGAGAUAUUUAUAUAUUUGCAUAUUAUGCGAGGGCUUCCAACCUGCUGCUUGAAGCCGUAUUCUCCGUAGUUCAUUUACUCGUGUCUUUUAUUAUUCUUUGAUUCAGCUCUUACUGCUUGUCGGUUGUAUCUGUUGCAUCAGGUUUGUCCAAUCGUAAUAUAGCCUUUGGUUGCUCCAACAGCCAGAGGUUCUGGUUGGCGAAAAGUUGCUCCAGAGCCUUUAUGUCCGCGCGUAGCUCUUCUAUUAGCAAUACGAAAGGCUGCGCUGGUCGUUCGUUGCCUGAGCCCAUGUCAGGCGGCAGGCAGGCACAUGGACAGUAGUAGCCUCGUAGUAUCAAGGGCGAGCUGUCCGCUGCAGGUACUUCCGGCGAAGACUAGGGGGGCGUUUGGAUCUAGCAAAACUCACCUGCAAAGAUACCGAUUAUUUUGGUCGUAGUCGUGACCUUACUGUAAAUAAUUCUUACGC
This 629-nucleotide long non-coding RNA is filed under the name Volvox carteri. Its description in RNAcentral is "long non-coding RNA (VCAR_LNC002606)". The record is from RNAcentral. Lineage: Eukaryota; Viridiplantae; Chlorophyta; Chlorophyceae; Chlamydomonadales; Volvocaceae.